RNAcentral lists this ribosomal RNA (951 nucleotides) under Triticum aestivum (bread wheat). RNAcentral describes it as "partial small subunit ribosomal RNA". Lineage: Eukaryota; Viridiplantae; Streptophyta; Magnoliopsida; Poales; Poaceae. The record is from RNAcentral.
AUGGCGAGCCUGAGCGUGCCUCCGGUGCUCACGCCUCCGCGUGAUGACGCCGUCGCUCUCCACAAGGCCUUCAAAGGGUUCGGCUGCGACAGCACGACGGUGACUAACAUACUUGCUCACCGCGACUCGGCGCAGCGCGCGCUCAUCCUGCACGAGUACAAAGCCAUAUACCAUCAGGAUCUCUACCAUCGCCUAGCAACUGAACUGAGUGGAAACCACAAGAAUGCUAUGCUGCUUUGGGUCCUCGACCCCGUGGGGCGUGACGCGACCAUACUGAACCAGGCUCUCAACAGCGACAUCACCGACCUGAGAGCCGCCACGGAGGUAAUCUGCUCCAGGACGCCGUCGCAGCUGCAGAUCAUGAAGCAAACCUACCGCGCGAGGUUCGGUUGCUACCUCGAGCAUGACAUCACCGAACGCACCUACGGUGAUCAUCAGAAGCUUUUGCUUGCGUACCUGGGAGUCCGGCGCAACGAAGGCCCGGAAGUUGAUCCUUCGGCGGUGACAGACGACGCGAGGGAGCUGUAUCAAGCCGGCGAGAAGAGGGUGGGCACCGAUGAGCGGGCCUUCAUCCGCAUCUUCAGCGAACGCAGCUGGGCGCACAUGGUGUCCGUGGCCAACGCUUACCAGCACAUGUACGCCCGGUCCCUGGAGAAGGCCGUGAAGAGUGAGACGACAGGGAACUUCCAGUUCGGGCUGCUGACCAUCCUCAGGUGCGCCGACACUCCGGCAAAGUACUUUGCCAAGGUCCUGCACAAGGCGAUGAAAGGCCUGGGCACCAGCAACGCGGCGCUCACACGGGUGGCGGUGACGAGGACCGAGGUUGACAUGAAGUACAUCAAGGCAGAGUACCACAACAAGUACAAGGGGUCGCUGGCUGAAGCUAUCCACUCCGAGACGUCGGGGAACUACCGAACCUUCCUCCUCUCACUCGUCGGCUGGGACCGCUAA